Molecule: non-coding RNA, 73 nt
Organism: Neotoma lepida (desert woodrat)
Lineage: Eukaryota; Metazoa; Chordata; Mammalia; Rodentia; Cricetidae
Source: Rfam
GGAGAGAUGGCUCAGUGGUUAAGAGCACUGACUGUUCGUCCAGAGGACCUGGGUUCAAUUCCCAGCNNCCACA